Molecule: long non-coding RNA, 644 nt
Filed under: Rattus norvegicus (Norway rat)
Lineage: Eukaryota; Metazoa; Chordata; Mammalia; Rodentia; Muridae
Description: long non-coding RNA NONRATT020378
Source: RNAcentral
GAUUGUGUUAGUUAAAGGAAAAGAGGAUAGUGGAUUGGCCAAUUUACCAGUGUGUGUUGAGAAUACCUUGUAAAUAAAAUGCAUGAGCAUAAAUCAUCUGAAUCCUGAUGAAGAUAACCUUUAAUCUGUUGUCUUGGCAUCAUAGGGAGGUGCGGAGUAAAGGAUAGUUGAAGUCUUGACUUCCAACAGAGCUGUCUCUCAAAGGAUUUACUAUAAACAUUUUAUUUAAAAAUAGUAUAUUUUCUUGCAUUAUUUUAAGGACAUUUGUGUGACAUUGGUUUUCUUGAUUUUGUUUAGGAAGUUUAUCGGAAUUCUAUGCCAGCUUCCAGCUUUCAACAGCAGAAACUUCGUGUCUGUGAAGUCUGUUCUGCAUAUUUAGGUCUUCAUGAUAAUGACCGACGACUUGCUGAUCAUUUUGGGGGUAAAUUGCAUCUGGGAUUUAUUGAAAUAAGAGAGAAGCUCGAAGAAUUAAAGGUACAUUUUUUUAAAUUAAUGCCCUUCGCUUUAUCCUGGGUAACCUGACUCUUUUGGUCUGUAUCAGUUUUCUUUUAGUUUCAUUGAUAAGGUUUCAUUGUGUAGCUCUGUGUGAUCUUCAACUACUUGUAAUCAAUCCUCUUGUCUCAGUUUCCCUGUACUGUAAUUAG